UGGCUCAGUGGUAAAGAAUCUGCCUGCAAUGCAGGAGACCCGGGUUCAAUCCCUGG
RNAcentral lists this transfer RNA (56 nucleotides) under Odocoileus virginianus texanus. It matches the Rfam family "tRNA", at positions 8 to 63 of the family's 71-position model. Rfam says of the family: Transfer RNA (tRNA) molecules are approximately 80 nucleotides in length. Their secondary structure includes four short double-helical elements and three loops (D, anti-codon, and T loops). RNAcentral also lists the same sequence under 3 other names. Lineage: Eukaryota; Metazoa; Chordata; Mammalia; Artiodactyla; Cervidae. The record is from Rfam by way of RNAcentral.